CAAUAGCGUAUAUUAAAGUUGUUGCAGUUAAAAAGCUCGUAGUUGGAUUUCGGGGCAGCCUGGCUGGUCCGCCGCAAGGCGAGUACUGGUCAGCCGCCCUUCCUCUCGAAAGCCCCGACUGCUCUUUAUUGCAGUGGUCGGGUAGUUCGGGACGUUUACUUUGAAAAAAUUAGAGUGUUCAAGGCAGGCCUACGCCUGAAUACAUUAGCAUGGAAUAAUGGAAGAGGACCUCGGUCCUAUUUUGUUGGUUUCCAGGACCGAAGUAAUGAUUAAGAGGGACAGUUGGGGGCAUUCGUAUUUAAUUGUCAGAGGUGAAAUUCUCGGAUUUAUGAAAGACGAGCAACUGCGAAAGCAUUUGCCAAGGAUGUUUUCAUUAA
This 377-nucleotide ribosomal RNA is filed under the name uncultured eukaryote. RNAcentral describes it as "partial 18S ribosomal RNA". It matches the Rfam family "Eukaryotic small subunit ribosomal RNA", at positions 592 to 976 of the family's 1831-position model. The record is from RNAcentral.